RNAcentral lists this ribosomal RNA (253 nucleotides) under uncultured bacterium. Its description in RNAcentral is "partial 16S ribosomal RNA". It matches the Rfam family "Bacterial small subunit ribosomal RNA", at positions 524 to 776 of the family's 1533-position model. The record is from RNAcentral.
UACGUAGGGUCCGAGCGUUGUCCGGAAUUAUUGGGCGUAAAGGGCUCGUAGGCGGUUUGUCACGUCGGGAGUGAAAACUCAGGGCUCAACCCUGAGCGUGCUUCCGAUACGGGCAGACUAGAGGUAUGCAGGGGAGAACGGAAUUCCUAGUGUAGCGGUGGAAUGCGCAGAUAUCAGGAGGAACACCGGUGGCGAAGGCGGUUCUCUGGGCGUUAACUGACGCUGAGGAGCGAAAGCAUGGGGAGCGAACAGG